GUAGAACGCUGAAGCUUGGUGCUUGCACCGAGCGGAUGAGUUGCGAACGGGUGAGUAACGCGUAGGUAACCUGCCUCUUAGCGGGGGAUAACUAUUGGAAACGAUAGCUAAUACCGCAUAAAAGUCGAUAUCGCAUGAUAUUGAUUUGAAAGGUGCAAUUGCAUCACUAAGAGAUGGACCUGCGUUGUAUUAGCUAGUUGGUGAGGUAACGGCUCACCAAGGCGACGAUACAUAGCCGACCUGAGAGGGUGAUCGGCCACACUGGGACUGAGACACGGCCCAGACUCCCACGGGAGGCAGCAGUAGGGAAUCUUCGGCAAUGGGGGCAACCCUGACCGAGCAACGCCGCGUGAGUGAAGAAGGUUUCCGGAUCGUAAAGCUCUGUUGUAAGAGAAGAACGAGUGUGAGAGUGGAAAGUUCACACUGUGACGGUAACUUACCAGAAAGGGACGGCUAACUACGUGCCAGCAGCCGCGGUAAUACGUAGGUCCCGAGCGUUAUCCGGAUUUAUUGGGCGUAAAGCGAGCGCAGGCGGUUAGAUAAGUCUGAAGUUAAAGGCUGUGGCUUAACCAUAGUACGCUUUGGAAACUGUUUAACUUGAGUGCAGAAGGGGAGAGUGGAAUUCCAUGUGUAGCGGUGAAAUGCGUAGAUAUAUGGAGGAACACCGGUGGCGAAAGCGGCUCUCUGGU
RNAcentral lists this ribosomal RNA (689 nucleotides) under uncultured Bacilli bacterium. RNAcentral's name for it is "bacterial SSU rRNA". It matches the Rfam family "Bacterial small subunit ribosomal RNA", at positions 61 to 733 of the family's 1533-position model. Lineage: Bacteria; Bacillati; Bacillota; Bacilli. The record is from RNAcentral.